GUGGGGAAUAUUGGACAAUGGGCGCAAGCCUGAUCCAGCCAUGCCGCGUGUGUGAAGAAGGCCUUAGGGUUGUAAAGCUCUUUUGUCCGGGAAGAUAAUGACUGUACCGGAAGAAUAAGCCCCGGCUAACUUCGUGCCAGCAGCCGCGGUAAUACGAAGGGGGCUAGCGUUGUUCGGAAUCACUGGGCGUAAAGCGCACGUAGGCGGACCAUUAAGUCAGGGGUGAAAGCCUGGAGCUCAACUCCAGAACUGCCUUUGAUACUGAUGGUCUCGAGUAUGGAAGAGGUUGGUGGAACUGCGAGUGUAGAGGUGAAAUUCGUAGAUAUUCGCAAGAACACCGGUGGCGAAGGCGGCCAACUGGUCCAUUACUGACGCUGAGGUGCGAAAGCGUGGGGAGCAAACAGGAUUAGAAACCCCUGUAGUCC
Molecule: ribosomal RNA, 425 nt
Filed under: uncultured bacterium
Lineage: Bacteria
Description: partial 16S ribosomal RNA
Rfam family: Bacterial small subunit ribosomal RNA
Source: RNAcentral